Molecule: non-coding RNA, 357 nt
Organism: Vicia faba (fava bean)
Lineage: Eukaryota; Viridiplantae; Streptophyta; Magnoliopsida; Fabales; Fabaceae
Source: the annotation of a GenBank genome assembly
AUGUUUUUAAUUCGGAAAGAUUGGAAUGUUCAUUUGGAUUUCUUAAAGAAACAAGUCACAAGAUUACUAGACUUACAUCAUACACGAUUACUCUAUUCAAAAUUUAAUAUCAUGCAUUUCAAACUUAUUUCAAAUAUAAAAGUCCCACCAACUUACAUAAAAUUCAAACAAGUUUCUCUAUAUUCAAGCGAGUAUAAAACUUCAUACAUAGAAAUCCCUAAGGCAUUUUUCCUAGCAUUCAAAUUUCCAAAUCCUGAUUUAAUCUUCCAAACUUCCAUCAAUCUCCAUGUCAUAGCCACUUUUGUUGUUGUAUGUUCAAAUGCCAAAACUUUUGCUAAAAAACAUCAAAUUUCAUGA